AUUGAACGCUGGCGGCAUGCUUUACACAUGCAAGUCGAACGGUAACAGGUUAAGCUGACGAGUGGCGAACGGGUGAGUAAUGCAUCGGAACGUGCCCGAUCGUGGGGGAUAACGCAGCGAAAGCUGCGCUAAUACCGCAUACGAUCUGAGGAUGAAAGCGGGGGACCGUAAGGCCUCGCGCGAUCGGAGCGGCCGAUGUCAGAUUAGGUAGUUGGUGGGGUAAAGGCUCACCAAGCCAACGAUCUGUAGCUGGUCUGAGAGGACGACCAGCCACCCUGGGACUGAGACACGGCCCAGACUCCUACGGGAGGCAGCAGUGGGGAAUUUUGGACAAUGGGCGAAAGCCUGAUCCAGCAAUGCCGCGUGCAGGAAGAAGGCCUUCGGGUUGUAAACUGCUUUUGUACGGAGCGAAAAGGUCCCCUCUAAUACAGGGGGCUCAUGACGGUACCGUAAGAAUAAGCACCGGCUAACUCUGUGCCAGCAGCCGCCGUAA
RNAcentral lists this ribosomal RNA (493 nucleotides) under uncultured bacterium. RNAcentral's name for it is "partial 16S ribosomal RNA". It matches the Rfam family "Bacterial small subunit ribosomal RNA", at positions 30 to 523 of the family's 1533-position model. The record is from RNAcentral.